UGUGUAGGCGGUUCUUUAAGUUCGCUGUGAAAUCUCCCGGCUUAACCGGGAGGGUGCGGUGAAUACUGAGGGACUAGAGUACGGGAGAGGAAAGUGGAAUUCCUGGUGUAGCGGUGAAAUGCGUAGAUAUCAGGAGGAACACCGGUGGUGUAGACGGCUUUCUGGACCGUAACUGACGCUGAGACACGAAAGCGUGGGUAGCAAACAGGAUUAGAUACCCUGGUAGUCCACGCCCUAAACGAUGCAUAUUUGGUGUGGGCAGUUCAUUCUGUCCGUGCCGGAGCUAACGCGUUAAAUAUGCCGCCUGGGGAGUACAGUCGCAAGGCUGAA
RNAcentral lists this ribosomal RNA (330 nucleotides) under uncultured bacterium. RNAcentral describes it as "bacterial SSU rRNA". It matches the Rfam family "Bacterial small subunit ribosomal RNA", at positions 568 to 898 of the family's 1533-position model. The record is from RNAcentral.